This 746-nucleotide ribosomal RNA is filed under the name uncultured bacterium. RNAcentral describes it as "bacterial SSU rRNA". It matches the Rfam family "Bacterial small subunit ribosomal RNA", at positions 47 to 809 of the family's 1533-position model. The record is from RNAcentral.
CCUUAUGCAUGCAAGUCGAACGGGGUUGCGAUUUUCGGAUUGUAAUCUAGUGGCGAACGGCUGAGUAACACGUAAGUAACCUGUCUUUGAGUGGGAAAUAACCUGCCGAAAGGCAAGCUAAUGUCCCAUGUGGUGACCAAGCCCAAGUUUGGUCACUAAAGCCUUCGGGUGCUCGAAGAGGGGCUUGCGUCCGAUUAGUUUGUUGGUGGGGUAAUGGCCUACCAAGGCGAUGAUCGGUAGCUGGUCUGAGAGGAUGGCCAGCCAGAUGGGGACUGAGACACGGCCCCAACUCCUACGGGAGGCAGCAGCAAGGAAUUUUGGGCAAUGAGCGAAAGCUUGACCCAGCGACACCGCGUGAGGGAGGAAGGCCUUCGGGUCGUAAACCUCUUUUCUUGGGGAAGAAUUCUGACGGUACCCAAGGAAUAAGCCUCGGCCAACUACGUGCCAGCAGCCGCGGUAAUACGUAGGAGGCGAACGUUAUUCGGAUUUACUGGGCGUAAAGGGAGCGUAGGCGGUUGCUUAAGUCAGAUGUGAAAUCUUUUGACUCAAUCAGAAGGGGCCAUCUGAUACUGGGCGACUUGAGAGCAGCAGAGGGAAAUGGAAUCCCCAGUGUAGCGGUGAAAUGCGUAGAUAUUGGGGAGAACACCAGUGGCGAAGGCGAUUUUCCAGGCUGUUUCUGACGCUGAGGCUCGAGAGCGUGGGGAGCGAAGCGGAUUAGAUACCCGCGUAGUCCACGCCCUAAACGG